GCAGGCUGCAACUCGCCUGCACGAAGCUGGAAUUGCUAGUAAUCGCGGAUCAGCAAGCCGCGGUGAAUACGUUCCCGGGCCUUGUACACACCGCCCGUCACACCAUGAGAGUCGGGAACACCCGAAGUCCGUAGUCUAACCGCAAGGGGGGCGCGGCCGAAGGUGGGUCCGGUAAUUGGGGGUGAAGUCGUAACAAGGUAAC
Molecule: ribosomal RNA, 202 nt
Filed under: uncultured bacterium
Lineage: Bacteria
Description: partial 16S ribosomal RNA
Rfam family: Bacterial small subunit ribosomal RNA
Source: RNAcentral